GGGUUGUGAGGUUAAGCGACUAAGCGUACACGGUGGAUGCCCUGGCAGUCAGAGGCGAUGAAGGACGUGCUAAUCUGCGAUAAGCGUCGGUAAGGUGAUAUGAACCGUUAUAACCGGCGAUUUCCGAAUGGGGAAACCCAGUGUGAUUCGUCACACUAUCAUUAACUGAAUCCAUAGGUUAAUGAGGCGAACCGGGGGAACUGAAACAUCUAAGUACCCCGAGGAAAAGAAAUCAACCGAGAUUCCCCCAGUAGCGGCGAGCGAACGGGGAGGAGCCCAGAGCCUGAAUCAGUGUGUGUGUUAGUGGAAGCGUCUGGAAAGGCGCGCGAUACAGGGUGACAGCCCCGUACACAAAAAUGCACAUGCUGUGAGCUCGAUGAGUAGGGCGGGACACGUGGUAUCCUGUCUGAAUAUGGGGGGACCAUCCUCCAAGGCUAAAUACUCCUGACUGACCGAUAGUGAACCAGUACCGUGAGGGAAAGGCGAAAAGAACCCCGGCGAGGGGAGUGAAAAAGAACCUGAAACCGUGUACGUACAAGCAGUGGGAGCACAGAGCAAUCUGUGUGACUGCGUACCUUUUGUAUAAUGGGUCAGCGACUUAUAUUCUGUAGCAAGGUUAACCGAAUAGGGGAGCCGAAGGGAAACCGAGUCUUAACUGGGCGUUAAGUUGCAGGGUAUAGACCCGAAACCCGGUGAUCUAGCCAUGGGCAGGUUGAAGGUUGGGUAACACUAACUGGAGGACCGAACCGACUAAUGUUGAAAAAUUAGCGGAUGACUUGUGGCUGGGGGUGAAAGGCCAAUCAAACCGGGAGAUAGCUGGUUCUCCCCGAAAGCUAUUUAGGUAGCGCCUCGUGAAUUCAUCUCCGGGGGUAGAGCACUGUUUCGGCAAGGGGGUCAUCCCGACUUACCAACCCGAUGCAAACUGCGAAUACCGGAGAAUGUUAUCACGGGAGACACACGGCGGGUGCUAACGUCCGUCGUGAAGAGGGAAACAACCCAGACCGCCAGCUAAGGUCCCAAAGUCAUGGUUAAGUGGGAAACGAUGUGGGAAGGCCCAGACAGCCAGGAUGUUGGCUUAGAAGCAGCCAUCAUUUAAAGAAAGCGUAAUAGCUCACUGGUCGAGUCGGCCUGCGCGGAAGAUGUAACGGGGCUAAACCAUGCACCGAAGCUGCGGCAGCGACGCUGAUGCGUUGUUGGGUAGGGGAGCGUUCUGUAAGCCUGUGAAGGUGUGCUGUGAGGCAUGCUGGAGGUAUCAGAAGUGCGAAUGCUGACAUAAGUAACGAUAAAGCGGGUGAAAAGCCCGCUCGCCGGAAGACCAAGGGUUCCUGUCCAACGUUAAUCGGGGCAGGGUGAGUCGACCCCUAAGGCGAGGCCGAAAGGCGUAGUCGAUGGGAAACAGGUUAAUAUUCCUGUACUUGGUGUUACUGCGAAGGGGGGACGGAGAAGGCUAUGUUGGCCGGGCGACGGUUGUCCCGGUUUAAGCGUGUAGGCUGGUUUUCCAGGCAAAUCCGGAAAACUAAGGCUGAGGCGUGAUGACGAGGCACUACGGUGCUGAAGCAACAAAUGCCCUGCUUCCAGGAAAAGCCUCUAAGCAUCAGGUAACAUCAAAUCGUACCCCAAACCGACACAGGUGGUCAGGUAGAGAAUACCAAGGCGCUUGAGAGAACUCGGGUGAAGGAACUAGGCAAAAUGGUGCCGUAACUUCGGGAGAAGGCACGCUGAUAUGUAGGUGAAGUCCCUCGCGGAUGGAGCUGAAAUCAGUCGAAGAUACCAGCUGGCUGCAACUGUUUAUUAAAAACACAGCACUGUGCAAACACGAAAGUGGACGUAUACGGUGUGACGCCUGCCCGGUGCCGGAAGGUUAAUUGAUGGGGUCAGCGCAAGCGAAGCUCUUGAUCGAAGCCCCGGUAAACGGCGGCCGUAACUAUAACGGUCCUAAGGUAGCGAAAUUCCUUGUCGGGUAAGUUCCGACCUGCACGAAUGGCGUAAUGAUGGCCAGGCUGUCUCCACCCGAGACUCAGUGAAAUUGAACUCGCUGUGAAGAUGCAGUGUACCCGCGGCAAGACGGAAAGACCCCGUGAACCUUUACUAUAGCUUGACACUGAACAUUGAGCCUUGAUGUGUAGGAUAGGUGGGAGGCUUUGAAGUGUGGACGCCAGUCUGCAUGGAGCCGACCUUGAAAUACCACCCUUUAAUGUUUGAUGUUCUAACGUUGACCCGUAAUCCGGGUUGCGGACAGUGUCUGGUGGGUAGUUUGACUGGGGCGGUCUCCUCCUAAAGAGUAACGGAGGAGCACGAAGGUUGGCUAAUCCUGGUCGGACAUCAGGAGGUUAGUGCAAUGGCAUAAGCCAGCUUGACUGCGAGCGUGACGGCGCGAGCAGGUGCGAAAGCAGGUCAUAGUGAUCCGGUGGUUCUGAAUGGAAGGGCCAUCGCUCAACGGAUAAAAGGUACUCCGGGGAUAACAGGCUGAUACCGCCCAAGAGUUCAUAUCGACGGCGGUGUUUGGCACCUCGAUGUCGGCUCAUCACAUCCUGGGGCUGAAGUAGGUCCCAAGGGUAUGGCUGUUCGCCAUUUAAAGUGGUACGCGAGCUGGGUUUAGAACGUCGUGAGACAGUUCGGUCCCUAUCUGCCGUGGGCGCUGGAGAACUGAGGGGGGCUGCUCCUAGUACGAGAGGACCGGAGUGGACGCAUCACUGGUGUUCGGGUUGUCAUGCCAAUGGCACUGCCCGGUAGCUAAAUGCGGAAGAGAUAAGUGCUGAAAGCAUCUAAGCACGAAACUUGCCCCGAGAUGAGUUCUCCCUGACUCCUUGAGAGUCCUGAAGGAACGUUGAAG
RNAcentral lists this ribosomal RNA (2833 nucleotides) under Escherichia coli. RNAcentral describes it as "partial 23S ribosomal RNA". It matches the Rfam family "Bacterial large subunit ribosomal RNA". The record is from RNAcentral. Lineage: Bacteria; Pseudomonadati; Pseudomonadota; Gammaproteobacteria; Enterobacterales; Enterobacteriaceae.